CACGUAGGAGGCAAACGUUAUCCGGAUUUACUGGGCGUAAAGCGCGUGUAGGUGGUUCUGUAAGUAGGGCGUGAAAGCUCCCAGCUCAACUGGGAGAGGCCGUUCUAAACUGCAGAGCUAGAGGAUGGUAGAGGGAGGUGGAAUUCCAGGUGUAGCGGUGGAAUGCGCAGAUAUCUGGAGGAACACCAGUGGCGAAGGCGGCCUCCUGGACCAUUCCUGACACUCAGACGCGAAAAGCUAGGGUAGCAAACGGGAUUAGGAUACCCCGGUAGU
This 273-nucleotide ribosomal RNA is filed under the name uncultured prokaryote. RNAcentral's name for it is "partial 16S ribosomal RNA". It matches the Rfam family "Bacterial small subunit ribosomal RNA", at positions 524 to 794 of the family's 1533-position model. The record is from RNAcentral.